Molecule: ribosomal RNA, 501 nt
Filed under: uncultured bacterium
Lineage: Bacteria
Description: bacterial SSU rRNA
Rfam family: Bacterial small subunit ribosomal RNA
Source: RNAcentral
GACGAACGCUAGCGGCAGGCCUAAUACAUGCAAGACGAACGGUAAGUUGAGUAGCGAUACUUAGCCAAGAGUGUCGUACGGGUGCGUAACACGUAUGCAACCUACCCUAUACAGGAGGAUAGCCUAGGGAAACCUGGAUUAACCCUUCAUAGUAUUAUUGGAUGGCAUCAUUUGAUAAUUAAAACUGAGGUGGUAUAGGAUGGGCAUGCGUCUGAUUAGUUAGUUGGCGGGGUAAUGGCCCACCAAGACGAUGAUCAGUAGGGGUUCUGAGAGGAAGAUCCCCCACACUGGCACUGAGAUACGGGCCAGACUCCUACGGGAGCAGCAGUAGGGAAUAUUGGUCAAUGGAUGCAAGUCUGAACCAGCCAUGCCGCGUGCAGGAAGAAGGCCUUUCUGGGGUUGUAAACUGCUUUUGCCAGGGGAUAAAAUUUCCAUGCGUGGAAAACUGAAGGUACCUGGUGAAUAAGCCACGGCUAACUACGUGCCAGCAGCCGCGGUAAU